CUAGCUAACCAACGUUUGUGUUGCAUUAAAGCUGCAGUCGGUGCGGCUAACGGAGCUCUUUGUGAGCAACCACGCCACCGCUACACAACAACCACUGUACACACUACAACACAACAACCACUGUACACACUACAACACAACAACCACUGUACACACUACAACACAACAACCACUGUACACACUACAACACAACAACCACUGUACACACUACAACACAGCAACCACUGUACACACUACAACACAACAACCACUGUACACACUACAACACAACAACCACUGUACACACUACAACACAACAACCACUGUACACACUACAACACAACAACUACCGUACACACUACAACACAACAACCACUGUACACACUACAACACAACAACCACUGUACACACUACAACACAACAACCACACACAGCAACCACUGUACACACUACAACACAACAACCACUGUACACACUACAACACAACAACCACACACAACAACCACUGUACACACUACAACACAACAACCACACACAACAACCACUGUACACACUACAACACAACAACCACUGUACACUCUACAACACAGCAACCACUGUACACACUACAACACAACAACCACUGUACACACUACAACACAACAACCACUGUACACACUACAACACAACAACCACCGUACACACUACAACACAACAACCACUGUACACACUACAACACAACAACUACCAUACACACUACAACACAACAACCACUGUACACACUACAACACAACAACCACUGUACACACUACAACACAACAACCACUGUACACACUACAACACAACAACCACACACAGCAACCACUGUACACACUACAACACAACGACCACUGUACACACUACAACACAACAACCACACACAACAACCACUGUACACACUACAACACAACAACCACCACUGUACACACUACAACACAACAACCACACACAACAACCACUGUACACACUACAACACAACAACCACUGUACACACUACAACACAACAACUACUGUACACACAACACAACAACCACUGUUCACACUACAACACAACCACUAUACACACUACAACACAACAACCACUGUUCACACUACAACACAACAACCACUGUUCACACUACAACACAACAACCACACACAACAACCACUGUACACACUACAACACAACAACCACACACAACAACCACUGUACACACUGCAACACAACCACUAUACACACUACAACACAACAACUACCGUACACACUACAACACAACAACCACACACUACAACACAAAUAUAAAUAGAUAA
RNAcentral lists this long non-coding RNA (1287 nucleotides) under Gouania willdenowi (blunt-snouted clingfish). Its description in RNAcentral is "lncRNA (ENSGWIG00000021591.1)". Lineage: Eukaryota; Metazoa; Chordata; Actinopteri; Blenniiformes; Gobiesocidae. The record is from RNAcentral.